UUUCCAUCUCUUGUCUCUUACAAUUCCAAUUUCUCUCGCGCUCCCAUCUCCUCCUCCACUGACGACGUCGUUUGGUAAGCAACCACACAUUGCUAAUUAUUAUAUGAUUCAUAAUAGUGAAGAUUUUAGUAGUAUUUACUUUAGUUGGAUGAUUUAUAUUUCCAAACAUAUAAAAGUAGCAGCUAGCUAACAUAAGAUACAAAUGCUCUGAUUUAUAGAUAACCUAUCUAUGUACAUGACUGAUGAUAUGCAAAGAUGAAUUAAAUAUACAAUUUCACAAAUUUUGAACAAGACAAGAUUUGUUUGCAACUCAAUUUCAACUCCACGUAUGUUAAUUUCCCAUGUAUACAAAAUGUUAUUCCUCCUAAACCAAAUAAUUUUAUUUCAAUCACAAAUUUAUCUCUUGACUACACUAAAGUCACAUAAUAGAAAAGUAGAGAGUCCAUUUCCUUGCAAUUUUGGCAUGGCAUACAACCACUUGUAAAUCAAGUACCACGCACGAAAAUAACAAUUAAAAGCAAAAAAAUAACAUUCACCCCAAUUAACAUCAUCACCUUAAUAUACUGUGGCAAAUUUUGAUCUCCAACUAUUUCAAAUUUUGUAUCUGUCUCAUUAGAUUUGUCAACAUGAUCGACCUUUGGGGGCAUAAUGUUGAAGGGGUCGAUCUUUGGUGACAUAAUGUUGAAGGGGUCGACCUUUGGUGACACAUUGUUGAAUGGGUCGACCUUUGGUGGCACAAUGUUGAAGGAGUCGACCUUUGGUGACACAUUGUUGUUGUCGUUGACCUUUGGUAGCACUUUGUUGUUGUCGUUGAUGUCACCGUCGUUGUUAGUAUGUUGAACAACAGGGUAAUUGUGAAUGUAAUUGUAAUUGUAAUUGCAAGUAACACCAUGUUCAGCAAAAAGAUGAGAUGAACUAUCAUCUUUUUUAUGCUUUGAUGGGUUUCCCUUAUUACAAUUAUCUUUAACACAACCCUUUUCAGAACCCUCCUCAGUAUGAC
Molecule: long non-coding RNA, 1000 nt
Filed under: Cicer arietinum (chickpea)
Lineage: Eukaryota; Viridiplantae; Streptophyta; Magnoliopsida; Fabales; Fabaceae
Description: long non-coding RNA (CARI_LNC000940)
Source: RNAcentral